CCAGUGUCCUCCAGGCCUUCUGGGCUUCAGAGCAACACGGGUUCAUCCUGCCCCUUUUUGCCAUUUUCCUAGGAACUUUGUCAGUUGAUUUAAUACUUUUAACGGCAGUUGUCCCACAUGGCUCCUUUGCUUCCUACUUUCUGCUUCAUAGAAGUCUCCCUCCAUCUGAGGGAAGGAGAAAAAGGAUUCCUGACCUGGGUCACGAACAGGUUGCUGCAGAAUGCCGGUGUGAGAUAGAGAUGCAGAGCCCUGGCAUCAGGAGAGGAGGAGGAGCCAGUGUCAGGAGCCGGCACUGCCCAGGACAGAGCCAGGCCGCUGUGGGGCUGAGUUCUGGCGCGUGGUUUGCCAGGGCUGCCCCUGCAAAACACCCAGACGGGGACCGAAACAAGGAGAUCCGUGUCCGCCCAGCGCUAGAGGCUGGAGGCCAAGAUCAAGAUUCAACCGGGCUGGCUUCUCUGUUCCUGUGUCUUCAGGUGGCCUGCCUCUGUGUGGGUCUGUGUCCCAGUCUCCUCUUGUCCCCUCAUCCCCAGGGGUGGGAACCGAACAAGGGGCUUGUGCGUGCCAGGCAGGGGUGCGGCCACGGAGCCAGCCCCACUCGCCUCCUGUAAAAGCACUAGUCACAUUUGAUUAGGGCCUACUCAUGUGAUGUCAUUUAGUCACCUAUCAAAGACUGUCACAGUCACAUUCGGAGGCAUUGGGACAGGACUUUCGCGUACGAAUGGGGAGUGGUGAGGUGGCCCAAGUUAGCCUGGGCACCGCGGAAUCAGCG
Molecule: long non-coding RNA, 769 nt
Filed under: Marmota monax (woodchuck)
Lineage: Eukaryota; Metazoa; Chordata; Mammalia; Rodentia; Sciuridae
Source: RNAcentral